This 253-nucleotide ribosomal RNA is filed under the name uncultured bacterium. RNAcentral's name for it is "partial 16S ribosomal RNA". It matches the Rfam family "Bacterial small subunit ribosomal RNA", at positions 524 to 776 of the family's 1533-position model. The record is from RNAcentral.
UACGUAGGUGGCAAGCGUUGUCCGGAUUUAUUGGGCGCAAAGCGCGCGCAGGCGGUCCUUUAAGUCUGAUGUGAAAGCCCACGGCUCAACCGUGGAGGGUCAUUGGAAACUGGGGGACUUGAGUACAGAAGAGAAGAGUGGAAUUCCACGUGUAGCGGUGAAAUGCGUAGAGAUGUGGAGGAACACCAGUGGCGAAGGCGACUCUUUGGUCUGUAACUGACGCUGAGGCGCGAAAGCGUGGGGAGCAAACAGG